Heterocephalus glaber (naked mole-rat) is the source of this 304-nucleotide long non-coding RNA. The record is from Ensembl. Lineage: Eukaryota; Metazoa; Chordata; Mammalia; Rodentia; Bathyergidae.
CUCAGUGGUUUCAACACCUGCUGCGCAAGCGCAAGGACCGCAGUACCAAAGGAAAAAAAGCCAAUGGGUGUGAAGGCAACCCUUCUUCAACUGAGGAAGUUACUCAAGGAAGAACUCUAACCAAGUGAAAAUUAAAUUACAACAAAACUCUCAAGGUAGAGUACAAGAAAGAAUGAAGGAGGAGGAGGAGGGAACCAUUUCUGCUUUAUUUGUCGCUCAGAGGUUUCUUCUGCCAUGCUCUUCCACCAUGAUAUUUCUGCUUUCGGGCCAGAUAGCCAUGGAUUAAAACCUCUGAAACCAUGAG